This 336-nucleotide unclassified non-coding RNA is filed under the name soil metagenome. Its description in RNAcentral is "partial contains 5.8S ribosomal RNA, internal transcribed spacer 2, and large subunit ribosomal RNA". The stretch from base 1 to 120 matches the Rfam family "5.8S ribosomal RNA", at positions 35 to 154 of the family's 154-position model. The record is from RNAcentral.
GAUGAAGAACGCAGCGAAAUGCGAUAAGUAAUGUGAAUUGCAGAAUUCAGUGAAUCAUCGAAUCUUUGAACGCUCAUUGCGCCCGCCAGUAUUCUGGCGGGCAUGCCUGUUCGAGCGUCAUUUCAACCAUCAAGCCCCAGGCUUGUGUUGGGGACCUGCGGCUGCCGCAGGCCCUGAAAACCAGUGGCGGGCUCGCUGUCACACCGGGCGUAGUAGAUUUUAUCUCGCUCAGGGCGUGCUGCGGGUUCCGGCCGUUAAAAAGCCUUUUUUACCCAAGGUUGACCUCGGAUCAGGUAGGAAGACCCGCUGAACUUAAGCAUAUCAAUAAGCGGAGGA